GACGAACGCUGGCGGCGUGCCUAAUACAUGCAAGUUGAGCGCUGAAGGUUGGUACUUGUACCAACUGGAUGAGCAGCGAACGGGUGAGUAACGCGUGGGGAAUCUGCCUUUGAGCGGGGGACAACAUUUGGAAACGAAUGCUAAUACCGCAUAAAAACUUUAAACACAAGUUUUAAGUUUGAAAGAUGCAAUUGCAUCACUCAAAGAUGAUCCCGCGUUGUAUUAGCUAGUUGGUGAGGUAAAGGCUCACCAAGGCGAUGAUACAUAGCCGACCUGAGAGGGUGAUCGGCCACAUUGGGAAUGAGACACCGCCCAAACUCCUACGGGAGGCAGCAGUAGGGAAUCUUCGGAAAUGGACGAAAGUCUGACCGAGCAACGCCGCGUGAGUGAAGAAGGUUUUCGGAUCGUAAAACUCUGUUGGUAGAGAAGAACGUUGGUGAGAGUGGAAAGCUCAUCAAGUGACGGUAACUACCCAGAAAGGGACGGCUAACUACGUG
This 497-nucleotide ribosomal RNA is filed under the name uncultured bacterium. RNAcentral describes it as "partial 16S ribosomal RNA". It matches the Rfam family "Bacterial small subunit ribosomal RNA", at positions 28 to 507 of the family's 1533-position model. The record is from RNAcentral.